RNAcentral lists this transfer RNA (67 nucleotides) under Micromonospora sediminimaris. RNAcentral describes it as "tRNA-Asp". Lineage: Bacteria; Bacillati; Actinomycetota; Actinomycetes; Micromonosporales; Micromonosporaceae. The record is from RNAcentral.
ACCGCGGUGGGGGAGGACCUGAGCGUUGUCGCCGCUGGCGGCUCGGUGUUCAAGGCGAUCCGCGGUG